Piliocolobus tephrosceles (Ugandan red Colobus) is the source of this 841-nucleotide long non-coding RNA. RefSeq lists it as uncharacterized. The record is from RefSeq and is a predicted model, not a curated record. The transcript has 2 exons. NCBI's taxonomy places the organism in Eukaryota, Metazoa, Chordata, Mammalia, Primates, Cercopithecidae.
AACGUGACCAGCCUUGGGUGCUUCCUGGGCUGCACCUAUGCCACCUUGGCCACCUGGAGGACCGCCCACCACUGCGGGCCCCCUGGAGCCCGACCACCUGGGGCGCCCCCACGUGGGGCCAUGUGCCGCCUGCACUUGGCUACCUAGUCUUUUCCCCAGCCUCUCCAGGCCCUAGCAGGAUGACAACCACAGCUUGACAGACUCCCAGCCUGCCAGGGCCCGAGACCCUGUGUCCACGUGACCUCAGUGAGUCCCCCACCUGCUGCAGGGGGUCCAGCACCCCACAGGGUGCAGCACCAGAACUGCGGGGAGCAGCACAAACUUUGCUGAGCCUCCCUGUCCAACCAAGCUCUUUAGACCAAGCCACUUCCUCCUCGGGGAGCCCAGGCCUCCGUGAGUUGGGCUGGGUGGGGGGGUCUCAGGUUGCCCCCGAAGGUCUCUGCACUCCUGCCCUUCGCCUGACAGAUGAACAGAUGCCUUCAUUGCCUGGAGCCGCCAGCGUGGUGAGCCAUUGGCCCCUGCCUGCCUCCAGGGUCCUAUGGUCAUGGCCAGCUCUGCCUGGGCCCCACUGGGGCUGCCUGCACCCAGAGACGAUGCUGCUGGGAGCUCAGAGCUCCCGAGGCCUAAGCCCUGUGUCCUCUAGCAGAGGUAUGGCCUGUGGCAGGGUGGCACUCCGGCCAGCCCUUCUCCGGCACAGGGUCCCUGUCCCUGGUUUACCCUGGGCUGCAGCUGUAUUUCUCCCAUUUUGGGAUGAGAAAGCCACAAAACUCUCCUGCAUUGUUCUUAAGGGCACCCCUGCUAAUUCAUUCCCCAAAUAAAAUUUUCGGUGUUGAUCUCCACA